This is a long non-coding RNA of Xiphophorus couchianus (Monterrey platyfish), 1659 nucleotides long. RefSeq lists it as uncharacterized. The transcript has 4 exons. Lineage: Eukaryota; Metazoa; Chordata; Actinopteri; Cyprinodontiformes; Poeciliidae. The record is from RefSeq and is a predicted model, not a curated record.
AUUUUGCUUGGACAACAGAUAAGCUUAUUGAACAAGAAAGGGGCCCCCAAUCCUUUAAUUUUUUUUAUUCCACAAACUAUUUGUUCAUGAACAACAAAUAAAUCUGCUCUAGAACUGGAUGAGACCUCUGUGACCUCUACAUCAUGUGACAGUGUGGCGUGUCACCAGCCGUUUGCAUGUACGAGGCCGCACAUGAGUUUAGGGGGGGAACAUGUAACCCGCAACUAGUAAAGGACUUUUAUUUUUGCGGGCCCACUUCCUGUGUUGCCCCAAACUCUGCUAACUUAUUUAAAGCCCCGCCUCCAGCUAUCCUCACCUGUUUCCGCUGUGAUUGUGGUUUGCUGUUGGCGUCUUUCUCAGGAAUUCCCCCCAAAAUCUUUAAAUCUAUUGAAUGGUUUCCGGAAUCACUGGCAUUGUUUACCUGGACCGUCACCAGGAUUCUGUCAGUGCUGAUUGUGGCUAAGCCCCACUGUCUUCUAAAAGGUCGGGUUUUUUUCCACCUGUCGGAUCAGAUCUUCAUCUGGAUCGGAAGAUGGCUCCUUAAAGGACACUCUUCUGGUGCUGCUUUUGUAGCCGCAGUUAACUGCCUAGCCCAUAAAUGUUACACAAUAAUAAGUUGUCUUUUUCUAAUGAGACAAAAUGUCCAGUUUUGUAGGUUACCAAAAUUUCUUGGAGGCCUAUGCAUUCCCCACAAGAACCGGAGCUCAUGUCCAGAAAGGACAGAACAAACAAAACUUCUUUCUGGAGAGAAAACUUUGAAAGUUGCAAGAACUAAAGUACACAACCCUUGUAAAAGUCUCAUUAGAACUGAAAUUUUCAGAGAAAUCACACAAUAAUUCUUGGACACCACAAUAAAAAAGGCUCUUGCUGGGCAAUGUGUGAAGAGAAAGAUGCUGGAGCCCCUAAGAACAGAAUAAUGCCAUCUGGGAGAGGGAACAAAUUCCGGAUUUUUUUUACGUAAGGUUUUAUUAGUUUGUUAAAAUUCAGAGAUUUAAAUAUAUUGAUAUUGCAAUUUUGCAAAACCUGUGUGCUGAUGUCAUUUUUAAGUUUUUGAUUGUUUUAUUUACUGAUGUUGGAGUUAAAUGGAGUCACAACUGUGAAUAUACUUUAACACUUUAAACUCUUUCCUUGUGUGACAUUCUGAACAAAAUUGCACUGCUUUACCUCCAUAGUUCUGGUUUAUUAUUUGGCCCAAUGUAUAAAUACUUAUAUAAUGUAAUUAUAAUGCAUAAAGUCAGAUUUAAUAAGUGGAGAUUUACUUCAGUCUAAGUUGUGUAUCUUGGGUUAUUUCUGUUGUCAUAUUUAGUGUAUUCUACAGCCUCACUCCCUGCUAAGUUGAUUGUACUCAUCUGGUUUCCAUGUCAUAAUCACAAGCUUGUUGGGUUCAUUCUCUCACUGUUGGAUCUGGUUCCUGGUAUUGUCUGUAUUUUGUCCUGUUCAAAAACCCAUCAUGACAAACAUGGGCUGAAAGGCCACUUAGAGAGGAAGAAGCCAUUAUUCCAAAGGUCAGCAAAACAAGUCGGACAGGUUAGAAAUGCAUCCAGGUACAAAUGGCUUCAUGUCCUAUGAUCUGACAAAACUUUCUGAUAUGUUCAUAUGAAGUGAAGCUUCACAAAUUCACAAAAUAAAUGUGGAAAUACUGAAGCAAAAUCUAAAAAA